AUCGCUUCUCGGCCUUUUGGCUAAGAUCAAGUGUAGAACAAGAGUAUCUUUCACCCAAUCUAUCCUCAUUAUCCAGGUUUUUUUUUUUUUUUCUAUUGCUACAAUAAAACAUCAUGAUCUUAAGCAACUUGAGUAGAAAUGGAUUUAUUUGGCUUACAUAUCCUAAUUACACACC
This 175-nucleotide small nuclear RNA is filed under the name Mus musculus (house mouse). RNAcentral's name for it is "U2 spliceosomal RNA". It matches the Rfam family "U2 spliceosomal RNA". From Rfam's summary of the family: U2 is a small nuclear RNA (snRNA) component of the spliceosome (involved in pre-mRNA splicing). Lineage: Eukaryota; Metazoa; Chordata; Mammalia; Rodentia; Muridae. The record is from Rfam by way of RNAcentral.